This 492-nucleotide ribosomal RNA is filed under the name uncultured bacterium. RNAcentral describes it as "partial 16S ribosomal RNA". It matches the Rfam family "Bacterial small subunit ribosomal RNA", at positions 29 to 507 of the family's 1533-position model. The record is from RNAcentral.
AGUGAACGCUGGCGGUAGGCCUAACACAUGCGAGUCGAACGGCAGCACAGUAAGAGCUUGCUCUUACGGGUGGCGAGUGGCGGACGGGUGAGGAAUACAUCGGAAUCUACUUUUUCGUGGGGGAUAACGUAGGGAAACUUACGCUAAUACCGCAUACGACCUACGGGUGAAAGCAGGGGAUCUUCGGACCUUGCGCGAUUGAAUGAGCCGAUGUCGGAUUAGCUAGUUGGCGGGGUAAAGGCCCACCAAGGCGACGAUCCGUAGCUGGUCUGAGAGGAUGAUCAGCCACACUGGAACUGCGACACGGUCCAGCCUCCUACGGGAGGCAGCAGUGGGGAAUAUUGGACAAUGGGCGCAAGCCUGAUCCAGCCAUACCGCGUGGGUGAAGAAGGCCUUCGGGUUGUAAAGCCCUUUUGUUGGGAAAGAAAAGCAGCAGGUUAAUACCCCGCUGUUCUGACGGUACCCAAAGAAUAAGCACCGGCUAACUUCGUG